UGCGUCCCAUCAGCUAGUUGGUGAGGUAAAAGCCCACCAAGGCGAUGACGGGUAGGGGACCUGAGAGGGUGGCCCCCCACAAUGGAACUGAAACACGGUCCAUACACCUACGGGUGGCAGCAGUAGGGAAUAUUGGUAAUGGGCGCAAGCCUGAACCAGCAACGCCGCGUGUGCGAUGACGGCCUUCGGGUUGCAAAGCACUUUUGACCGGGACGAGGAAGGACGGUACCGGUCGAAUCAGCCUCGGCUAACUACGUGCCAGCAGCCGCGGUAAAACGCAGGAGGCGAGCGUUAUCCGGAUUUACUGGGUGUAAAGCGCGUGCAGGCGGCUCGCUAAGUUGGAUGUGAAAGCUCCUGGCUCAACUGGGAGAGGUCGUUCAAAACUGGCGGGCUUGAGGAUGGUAGGGGAAGGUGGAAUUCCGGGUGUAGUGGUGAAAUGCGUAGAUAUCCGGAGGAACACCAGUGGCGAAGGCGGCCUUCUGGACCAUUACUGACGCUCAGACGCGAAAGCUAGGGUAGCAAACGGGAUUAGAGACCCCGGUAGUCCUAGCCGUAAACGAUGUGAACUUGGCGCCUGGCGGGUAAAACCGUUGGGUGCCGCAGCUAACGCGAUAAGUUCACCACCUGGGGACUACGGCCGCAAGGUUAAAACUCAAAGGAAUUGACGGGGGCCCGCACAAGCAGCGGAGCGUGUGGUUUAAUUCGAUGCUACACGAAGAACCUUACCAGGGCUUGACAUGGACGUGGUAGCGAAGCGAAAGCGGAGCGACCCUUCGGGGAGCGUUCACAGGUGCUGCAUG
This 800-nucleotide ribosomal RNA is filed under the name uncultured bacterium. RNAcentral's name for it is "bacterial SSU rRNA". It matches the Rfam family "Bacterial small subunit ribosomal RNA", at positions 232 to 1047 of the family's 1533-position model. The record is from RNAcentral.